GAUGAACGCUGGCGGCAUGCCUAACACAUGCAAGUCGAGCGAAAACAUCAGGAACUUGCUCCUUUGACGUUAGGGGCGGACGGGCGCGUAACACGUGGGCGAAUUAACUCUACGAACGGAUUAAGGCUAACCAACCGGGGCUAGUGCCGGAAACCAAUUAGAACUCUAUGGUACUACAGUAAAAGAUGGUAUUGCUAUCAGUUAUAGAUGGAGCCGCGUCGGAUUAGCUAGUUGGUAGGGUAACGGCUUACCAAGGCGACGAUACGUAGGCGACCUGAGAGGGUGGUCAGCCACACUGGAACUGAGACACGGUACAGACUCCUACACGAGGGAACGGUGGAGAGUCGUCCGCAAGGGGCGGAAGCCUGAUGGAGCAAAGCCGCGUGAGGGAUGAGGGUCUUCGGAUCGUAAAACUCUGUUAUUUGUGAAGAACAAAUGUGUAAGUAACUGUGAACUUCUUGACGGUACCUAAUCAGAAAGCCACGGCUAACUACGUG
This 497-nucleotide ribosomal RNA is filed under the name uncultured bacterium. RNAcentral's name for it is "partial 16S ribosomal RNA". It matches the Rfam family "Bacterial small subunit ribosomal RNA", at positions 28 to 507 of the family's 1533-position model. The record is from RNAcentral.